UACGAAGGGGGCUAGCGUUGUUCGGAAUCACUGGGCGUAAAGGGCGCGUAGGCGGCCGAUCAAGUCGGGGGUGAAAGCCUGUGGCUCAACCACAGAAUUGCCUUCGAUACUGGUUGGCUUGAGACCGGAAGAGGUAAGUGGAACUGCGAGUGUGGAGGUGAAAUUCGUAGAUAUUCGCAAGAACACCAGUGGCGAAGGCGGCUUACUGGUCCGGUUCUGACGCUGAGGCGCGAAAGCGUGGGGAGCAAACAGG
RNAcentral lists this ribosomal RNA (253 nucleotides) under uncultured bacterium. RNAcentral describes it as "partial 16S ribosomal RNA". It matches the Rfam family "Bacterial small subunit ribosomal RNA", at positions 524 to 776 of the family's 1533-position model. The record is from RNAcentral.